CAGUCGCCACGGUAACACGAGGGGGGCAAGCGUUGUUCGGAAUUAUUGGGCGUAAAGGGCGCGUAGGCGGUUUGGCAAGUUUGGUGUGAAAUCUUCGGGCUCAACUCGAAGUCUGCACCGAAAACUGCCGGGCUUGAGUAUGGGAGAGGUGAGUGGAAUUUCCGGUGUAGCGGUGAAAUGCGUAGAUAUCGGAAGGAACACCUGUGGCGAAAGCGGCUCACUGGACCAUUACUGACGCUGAGGCGCGAAAGCUAGGGGAGCAAACAGGAUUAGAUACCCGAGUAGUCCCUGUCUCUUAUAA
RNAcentral lists this ribosomal RNA (301 nucleotides) under uncultured bacterium. RNAcentral's name for it is "partial 16S ribosomal RNA". It matches the Rfam family "Bacterial small subunit ribosomal RNA", at positions 509 to 809 of the family's 1533-position model. The record is from RNAcentral.